RNAcentral lists this long non-coding RNA (359 nucleotides) under Nicotiana benthamiana. RNAcentral describes it as "long non-coding RNA (NBEN_LNC010496)". The record is from RNAcentral. Lineage: Eukaryota; Viridiplantae; Streptophyta; Magnoliopsida; Solanales; Solanaceae.
UAAGAAACUCCUCAAUCAAGAUGAAUGAGACCUUUCAUGGAAGUCUUAGUUGGACUCUACACCGCUACGCACCUUACGUCGAUCUAGAUGAUAACAAGGCCUUUCUUCCUCAUGAAGAAGGAGUAGAGACCUAGCUUUCAUCUGUCUGUUAAAAUGUAAUGCUAUACCUUUAGUUGGACUCUACACAGCUACGCACCAUACGUCGAUCUAGAUGAUAACAAGGUCUUUCUUCCUCGUGAAAAAGGAGUAGAGACUUAGCUUUCAUCUGUCUGUUAAAAUAUAUGCUAUACCUUUUGUCCUUGAGAAUCGGCUGGGUAUAGUGGGAAAGAGUUUGACGAUCUAGUUACAUAUCACAUAAG